RNAcentral lists this ribosomal RNA (333 nucleotides) under uncultured bacterium. RNAcentral describes it as "bacterial SSU rRNA". It matches the Rfam family "Bacterial small subunit ribosomal RNA", at positions 568 to 898 of the family's 1533-position model. The record is from RNAcentral.
CGCGUAGGCGGCUCGGAAAGUCGGUCGUGAAAUGCCGGGGCUCAACCCCGGGACUGCGUCCGAUACUCCCGAGCUGGAGGCAGGUAGGGGAGAUCGGAAUUCCUGGUGUAGCGGUGAAAUGCGCAGAUAUCAGGAGGAACACCGGUGGCGAAGGCGGAUCUCUGGGCCUUGCCUGACGCUGAGGCGCGAAAGCUAGGGGAGCGAACAGGAUUAGAUACCCUGGUAGUCCUAGCCGUAAACGUUGGGUGCUAGGUGUGGGCGGAUAUCGACCCCGUCCGUGCCGAAGCUAACGCAUUAAGCACCCCGCCUGGGGAGUACGGCCGCAAGGCUAAA